RNAcentral lists this ribosomal RNA (386 nucleotides) under Sycoscapter sp. 1 JHX-2007. RNAcentral's name for it is "eukaryotic LSU rRNA". The record is from RNAcentral. Lineage: Eukaryota; Metazoa; Arthropoda; Insecta; Hymenoptera; Pteromalidae.
GGGUCGUUUAACAAACAAAACCAGACUGCUUGUACACGCAAGCGAUAGCCUGAGCGUUCGUCGCUAUGUCAAAGCAGCCCAGAGCUCUUUUUCGUUGCGGCGUCGCUCGAAAUGAUUGGUAAUUUUUAAAUUCGUCCGUUCGAACGCAGCGACGUAUACAGUGUGCGCAGUACCAAACUUUUGAUUGAGCAAGGUCUGCGAAGCCACGCCCGUCGAGUCCCGGAGCUCCUGCGCUCUUUAGAGCGCCGAGCGGACCGACGAGUCGCGUUGUGCUUUCGUUUUCCAACGUUCAUGAUGGAAUUGCGCGUGUACGGAUUUCGCUAUUACGACGAAUUGAACAAUCGAUCGACGACCUCAGAGCAGGCGAGACUACCCGCUGAAUUUAA